UACGAAGGGGGCUAGCGUUGUUCGGAAUUACUGGGCGUAAAGCGCGCGCAGGCGGCCUUUCAAGUCAGGGGUGAAAACCCGGAGCUCAACUCCGGGCCUGCAGUCGAUACGGGCGGACUCGAGUUCGGCAGGGGAGACUGGAAUUCCUGGUGUAGCGGUGAAAUGCGCAGAUAUCAGGAGGAACACCGGUGGCGAAGGCGGGUCUCUGGGCCGAUACUGACGCUGAGGAGCGAAAGCGUGGGGAGCGAACAGG
Molecule: ribosomal RNA, 253 nt
Filed under: uncultured prokaryote
Description: partial 16S ribosomal RNA
Rfam family: Bacterial small subunit ribosomal RNA
Source: RNAcentral